This 725-nucleotide ribosomal RNA is filed under the name Francisella endosymbiont of Dermacentor variabilis. Its description in RNAcentral is "bacterial SSU rRNA". It matches the Rfam family "Bacterial small subunit ribosomal RNA", at positions 250 to 962 of the family's 1533-position model. The record is from RNAcentral. Lineage: Bacteria; Pseudomonadati; Pseudomonadota; Gammaproteobacteria; Thiotrichales; Francisellaceae.
UGGUGGGGUAAGGGCCGGCCAAGGCUACGAUCCAUAGCUGAUUUGAGAGGAUGAUCAGCCACAUUGGGACUGAGACACGGCCCAAACUCCUACGGGAGGCAGCAGUGAGGAAUAUUGGACAAUGGGGGCAACCCUGAUCCAGCAAUGCCAUGUGUGUGAAGAAGGCCUUAGGGUUGUAAAGCACUUUAGUUGGGGAAGAAAGCUUUGAGGUUAAUAGCCUUGAGGAAAAGGACGUUACCCAAAGAAUAAGCACCGGCUAACUCCGUGCCAGCAGCCGCGGUAAUACGGGGGGUGCAAGCGUUAAUCGGAAUUACUGGGCGUAAAGGGUCUGUAGGUGGUUUGUUAAGUCAGAUGUGAAAGCCUAGGGCUCAACCUUGGAACUGCAUUUGAUACUGGUAAACUAGAGUACGGUAGAGGAAUGGGGAAUUUCUGGUGUAGCGGUGAAAUGCGUAGAGAUCAGAAGGAACACCAAUGGCGAAGGCAACAUUCUGGACCGAUACUGACACUGAGGGACGAAAGCGUGGGGAUCAAACAGGAUUAGAUACCCUGGUAGUCCACGCUGUAAACGAUGAGUACUAGCUGUUGGAGUCGGUGUAAAGGCUCUAGUGGCGCAGCUAACGCGAUAAGUACUCCGCCUGGGGACUACGGCCGCAAGGCUAAAACUCAAAGGAAUUGACGGGGACCCGCACAAGCGGUGGAGCAUGUGGUUUAAUUCGAUGCAACGC